CCUUCACCCAGUCACGUGCUCAGAAGCUUUGUGAGUGCAUGUGGUUGCUUUUGGCUUAGUGUGAGAGUGCAGCCCACGUGGAUGCUUUGGAGGCAAAGCAGCAGAAGUGGACUGAGAACCAGCUCGUUUUUUCCAGAGUAAGAGGGACUUGCCACAGAGUACCUGCAACACUGAGAGUGAAGUGGCUGAAUGAAGAAUAGGAAAUGUGAACGUUAAGCCAAGCUUGGAACUACAGCAGAGAAAUGAACCAUAUAACAAAGAUAAUACAAAUGAGAUCUCUAAGUCAUUGGCUGAUAAACACAGCUCCUAGUGCUAUGCUGACCUCCACAUUAACUUUCUGCUCAUGUUUCUUUACCUGUAACAGAGAGGGCCAGAACAGAGGAAGAAGACUAAGUCUCUUUUUUACCAAUCCAUUACAGUUUCACCUGUAUGUCUAAUGGGCUGCCAAUAGCACUGUUGAAAUGGUAUUUCAGAAAGGCAGAGGCACCUGCUAGAGCAAGGAUUUGACCUGUGUAUUUUCCAGUCCCCUGUACACAAGAAUAAUCUUUAAGAGACAGCCAAAUUUUGAUGAGUUGUGCAAUGCAU
Molecule: long non-coding RNA, 585 nt
Organism: Pezoporus flaviventris
Lineage: Eukaryota; Metazoa; Chordata; Aves; Psittaciformes; Psittacidae
Exons: 3
Source: RefSeq, a predicted model, not a curated record